Molecule: ribosomal RNA, 369 nt
Filed under: uncultured Sphingobacteriales bacterium
Lineage: Bacteria; Pseudomonadati; Bacteroidota; Sphingobacteriia; Sphingobacteriales
Description: bacterial SSU rRNA
Rfam family: Bacterial small subunit ribosomal RNA
Source: RNAcentral
UACUUCUUCGGACAAUAUACAAGGUGCUGCAUGGUUGUCGUCAGCUCGUGCCGUGAGGUGUCGGGUUAAGUCCCAUAACGAGCGCAACCCCUAUCAUUAGUUGCCAUCAGGUCAAGCUGGGGACUCUAAUGAAACUGCCUACGCAAGUAGUGAGGAAGGUGGGGAUGGACGUCAAAUCAGCACGGCCCUUACGUCCAGGGCUACACACGUGCUACAAUGGCCGAUACAGAGGGCAGCUACCUGGUGACAGGAUGCAAAUCUCCAAAGUCGGUCUCAGUUCGGAUCGGAGUCUGCAACCCGACUCCGUGAAGUUGGAUUCGCUAGUAAUCGCGCAUCAGCCAUGGCGCGGUGAAUACGUUCCCGGGCCUU